RNAcentral lists this unclassified non-coding RNA (1421 nucleotides) under Amphibalanus amphitrite. Its description in RNAcentral is "uncharacterized LOC122375801, transcript variant X10". The record is from RNAcentral. Lineage: Eukaryota; Metazoa; Arthropoda; Thecostraca; Balanomorpha; Balanidae.
GUCGGCGCCGCCGUGUGGUGGGCGUGGGUCGGAGCACGGCACAGUGACACCAGCGCGGCCGCCGCCGAACAGUGACGCCGUGCCCUGCCGGGGUCACAGAGUAGCAGCGACCUUUCGCCAGCUGGGGAAGGGAUUGUACGGCCAUCAUGAGCAGUGAGAGGAAGAAGCGCGGCAUGCCGCUCCACCAGGUCAGCAUAGAGUCGCCGGGACCCACCAUGAAGGGGUGCGUCUUCAACUUCGACGUGCCCAUGCCGGAGGUGCCGCCCUCCGGCGCCCGGAUCAGGGUGAUGUGUGCCGGCGUGUGCUACCGCUCGAAGCGCUCCAUGUCGAUCAACAGCGGCGCAUCGCUUUCCUCGAUCGGCUCCGACCACUCGAGCUGCAGCAACAAGGGCGUGCGCGACACGUCGCUGUUCCCCGGUUUCGAGGUUGCCGGUCAGAUUGAGAGCUUCGGUGAAAAUGUGGAUCCGAAAUGUGGUCUGAAGGUCGGCGACAAUGUCAUUGUGUACCCGUACAUAGGAUGUCCCGAAGGGUACGCCGAGUACGUGGCCGUCGAGGACGUCCAGUACCUGGUCAAGGUGCCGGACGAGGUACCCAUGCCGGUGGCCUCCAUGCUGCCCAGCGGCGGCCUGUGGGCCAUGAACUCUGUGUUCACCGCCAGACAAUACGUCGAGAAGCUGCUGAAAGAGCGCGGCGACAAAGGCAAGGUGAACGUUCUGGUGGUGGGCACGGGCGGCCUGGCGCUCUGGGCGAUCCGGAUCGGGCGCCACUACUUCCCCGAGUGGACCGAGGGCCAGGCGGUGCGACUGACUGUGGCGGUGCUGCGUGACGAGGGCCUGCAGAGCAUCACCGAGCAGGAGCACCAAAACGCCACCGACAUGUCGGAGGAGCCCGGAAUUCACGGCCGGGUGAACAUCGUCCAGUGGAGCGAGGACUGCUACGAGACCCAGCUGAUCGAGCGAACCAUCAACGCCUGCGAGGGCAACGUCGACAUCAUCAUCGACUUCGCUGCCAACCCGCGCUCCAUGAACCGCUCCCUCAAGUGCCUAUCCAAGGGCGGUGUGAUCGUGAUCGGCGCCGAGACUGCCCAGCGCUACGUCAGCCGGUUCGAGAGCGUGGCGCAGGCCAGCGAUCAGACCAUCGUGCCCGUCGAGAUGGGCUCCCUCGAGCAGCUGCACACACUCGUACAUCUCAUCGCCUCCAAAAAGGUGGAGCCGCCCCCUUACAACCUGUUCCCGUCCGACAAGGCUGAGGAGGUCUUCAUGAAGCUGGGCCGCGCCAAAAUCCACGGCCGCGCCAUCCUGCACUUUGACCCGAUCCCGGACGCCCCGGAGACGUGAACUGCGCCGGAACACAGCGGAGACCCGCAGUUGUACGGCGGAGGCGCGGCGCCACCUGUGGACAGUUGCGCGGCGCCGCCUGCA